UAUUAGUGAGGGCCCUCAUGGGGUUUUUGAUUAUGUGAUUACUUGGCCGUUUUUUUAAUGAUUAUUUGAUUAUUAAGCCAAAUAUUUCAUGAUUAUUUGAUUACCUAGGACUGUAUUUUUAGUUUAUGAUUAUUUGAUUACUAAAGAUAAGCAAAUAUUUAAUGAUUAUGUGAUUAUAUUGGCAAAAAAAUGGUGAUUAUGUGAUUACUAGGACCCCCCCAUGAGGGGCCUCAUUAGUUGUU
This 242-nucleotide long non-coding RNA is filed under the name Mytilus galloprovincialis (Mediterranean mussel). The record is from RNAcentral. Lineage: Eukaryota; Metazoa; Mollusca; Bivalvia; Mytilida; Mytilidae.